RNAcentral lists this ribosomal RNA (354 nucleotides) under uncultured bacterium. Its description in RNAcentral is "bacterial SSU rRNA". It matches the Rfam family "Bacterial small subunit ribosomal RNA", at positions 917 to 1271 of the family's 1533-position model. The record is from RNAcentral.
GGGCCCGCACAAGCGGUGGAGUAUGUGGUUUAAUUCGAUGCAACGCGAAGAACCUUACCAGGGUUUGACAUCCUGCGAAUCUCUUGGAAACGAGAGAGUGCCUUCGGGAACGCAGUGACAGGUGGUGCAUGGCUGUCGUCAGCUCGUGUCGUGAGAUGUUGGGUUAAGUCCCGCAACGAGCGCAACCCACGUCUUUAGUUGCCAGCAUUUAGUUGGGCACUCUAGAGAGACCGCCGGUGAUAAACCGGAGGAAGGUGUGGAUGACGUCAAGUCAUCAUGCCCCUUAUGCCCAGGGCUGCAAACACGCUACAAUGGCUGGUACAGAGGGCUGCGAACCCCGCGAGGGCAAGCGAA